GAUCAAACAGGCAUCGGCGGCUUCGGCCACGGCGGCAACGGCGUCAAGGUUCUAGGCUAGAACCUCGACGAUCUAUCUUCUCUACCGAUCUCUUCCUACCUCCAGCUUCCACUGCUAGUUCUAGAAGCUUCCAGAACUUGUAUUCCAUAGUUUCUUCUUCUCUUUUCCCCCUAAAACAAUUGUUGCUUGUAUGGUGGAUCCUUGCUAUUGAAUUGGAAGAAGUGGGUUCCUAACAAUCUGGUAUCAGAGCCGCUCGGUUCGUGGGAUUUCUCGUCAUGCAGGUGUUGGGAAGGCAGCAGUGCAAGGUGGAGGAAGAUUUGGGCAAGUGAGGUGCUCAUGAAUCUAGCGCACACAACCUGUUCGAUAGAAUACCAAGCCAACAUAAGGUGUUUAAGGACGAUGAAAGGAUAUCAGAGCCCGUUUCCAUCAAAUCCACCAUGAACAAGGAGGGAAUAUCCAUGGACGAAUCUUUAGAUCAGAAUCUUGGGAAGCUUGAGUUGAUGGAGGCCAAGUGCAGGCAAGAGGAGAAGUUCAAUCAAAUACUACAGAAGUUGGAGGAGAUAGAGGCUUGUAGGAGCAAGGCUACCGAGGUGACGAUUGCUGACAUCAGGACAACCACCGCCAUCCUCAAGGCUUCAUCAUCUCCAACACCCAUGGCACCACCUCCUCCAACACCGACCAAGUGUUUGACAAAAUGCCCCAACAACAACUUCACUUGGGUGAUGGCGAAUUCAAGUCACAUUGGUGAGGUGCUUGCUCCAACGGCUGCCUGGGAGCUAGGAGACAACAAGGACAAGGGCCACACCCCCUGCAUCGUCACCAACGACUCACCCAAGGUCACGCCCGCCAAGUGCUCGAAUUGUUCUAGCCCUGACAUCGUGCUAGACCUCACCGUGGCUGUGGGGGUUUCAUGUGCCACUACUAUGGCCUCCAUGGAGUUGUUGGUUGGUGAGGAUGCAACCAGUGUCAUCUACAUUGACAACCCACAUUGUUCCAUAGCGACGCAUGCCAAGUGUUCGACUUUGGGCCUCAAUGUCAAUGGUAGCGCCAACCAACCUGUGGUCGUGUUCCCUACCAUUACAGCUAUGAAUGGGCAUAGCAUCAUUCCAACUCUGCCUCUGACCAUUAUGAAUACGUCAGUCAUCCUUGUUGUCAAAUCAAGUUGUGCUAGCGACAAUUCUAUCAGACUUAUGACUCUAUGUUAG
RNAcentral lists this long non-coding RNA (1205 nucleotides) under Oryza sativa Indica Group (long-grained rice). RNAcentral's name for it is "lncRNA OsPr106_12g0015970". Lineage: Eukaryota; Viridiplantae; Streptophyta; Magnoliopsida; Poales; Poaceae. The record is from RNAcentral.